CACCAAUCAAGCCUGGCUUGGUAUUGGGCCACGGGAGCAACCCGGGCCUCAAAGUCUGCCGGCUGGAAAGCUCUGAUCUCAGCGUCGUGGUUAAUCAAUUCGCGAGGAAAGGGGCGGUCCACGCCGUGAAAUUCAUCACAGG
Molecule: unclassified non-coding RNA, 142 nt
Filed under: uncultured Capnodiales
Lineage: Eukaryota; Fungi; Ascomycota; Dothideomycetes; Capnodiales
Description: sequence contains ITS2
Source: RNAcentral